Molecule: ribosomal RNA, 253 nt
Filed under: uncultured bacterium
Lineage: Bacteria
Description: partial 16S ribosomal RNA
Rfam family: Bacterial small subunit ribosomal RNA
Source: RNAcentral
UACGGGGGGGGCAAGCGUUGUUCGGAAUUACUGGGCGUAAAGGGCGCGUAGGCGGUUGGAUAAGUCAGCUGUGAAAACCACGGGCUUAACUCGUGGCCUGCAGUUGAGACUGUCUGGCUUGAGUGUGGGAGAGGAGAGUGGAAUUCCUGGUGUAGCGGUGAAAUGCGUAGAUAUCAGGAAGAACACCGGUGGCGAAGGCGGGUCUCUGGGCCGAUACUGACGCUGAGGAGCGAAAGCGUGGGGAGCGAACAGG